This 267-nucleotide long non-coding RNA is filed under the name Olea europaea (common olive). RNAcentral describes it as "long non-coding RNA (OEUR_LNC011785)". The record is from RNAcentral. Lineage: Eukaryota; Viridiplantae; Streptophyta; Magnoliopsida; Lamiales; Oleaceae.
UUUGGCAUUUCGAAAACCAAUAUCGGAUGAAUGAGAAAUUACGAAAAAGGACGAAAAUCAGUGAAUAGACACCUUUUCAUAAAGGUGCAUUGUUUAGAAAGGGUGCAUGGUUUGGCCUCAACCAUUAGUGAAUAGACACCUUUUCAUAAAGGCCAUUAGUGAAUAGACACCUUUUCAUAAAGGUGCAUUGUUUGGAAAGGGUGCAUGGUUUGGCCUCAACCAUUUCGUCCACACCCUUUCAUGGUCUAUAAAUAGGACCCUUUGGGU